RNAcentral lists this ribosomal RNA (444 nucleotides) under uncultured bacterium. RNAcentral's name for it is "bacterial SSU rRNA". It matches the Rfam family "Bacterial small subunit ribosomal RNA", at positions 355 to 825 of the family's 1533-position model. The record is from RNAcentral.
UCGGGAAUUUUGGGCAAUGGGGGAAACCCUGACCCAGCAACGCCGCGUGAAGGAUGAAGUAUUUCGGUAUGUAAACUUCGAAAGAAUAGGAAGAAUAAAUGACAGUACUAUUUAUAAGGUCCGGCUAACUACGUGCCAGCAGCCGCGGUAAUACGUAGGGACCAAGCGUUGUUCGGAUUUACUGGGCGUAAAGGGCGCGUAGGCGGCAUGACAAGUCACUUGUGAAAUCUCUGGGCUUAACCCAGAACGGCCAAGUGAUACUGUCGCGCUAGAGUGCAGAAGGGGCAAUCGGAAUUCUUGGUGUAGCGGUGAAAUGCGUAGAUAUCGGGAGGAACACCUGUGGCGAAGGCGGCCACCUGGUUGGAUACUGACGCUGAGACGCGAAAGCGUGGGGAGCAAACAGGAUUAGAUACCCCCGGUCCUGAGCGGGCUGGCAAGGCGCAU